GGCGGUUCUCAGGUGACGCACCCAGACUCAGGCUCCCUCCUCUCUGGUUCUGGGGGCAUCACCUGAGAACCAACA
Myotis davidii is the source of this 75-nucleotide non-coding RNA. The record is from Rfam. Lineage: Eukaryota; Metazoa; Chordata; Mammalia; Chiroptera; Vespertilionidae.